RNAcentral lists this ribosomal RNA (407 nucleotides) under Scolopocryptops mexicanus. Its description in RNAcentral is "eukaryotic LSU rRNA". It matches the Rfam family "Eukaryotic large subunit ribosomal RNA", at positions 692 to 945 of the family's 3401-position model. The record is from RNAcentral. Lineage: Eukaryota; Metazoa; Arthropoda; Chilopoda; Scolopendromorpha; Cryptopidae.
CUAUGGAAAGCAAAACCUGAACGGCGCAAUGAAAGUGAAGGCCGUCCGCUGGUCGUUCCGAACCGCUUCGCUUCGGCAAGCGGCCUAGGAGGCUGCGGCGGCGGAGGCGGGAUCCGAUUUUUCAUGAGAUACCAAUCCCGAAUGAAAAUUACGAGCCAGGGCCCAAUAUAUUGAAUNGUUUAUACCCAUGAAUUGAGGGCCCUGGUCGGCGCACCGCAGGCCCGUCUCAAUGUGCCACAACGUUGGCGAGGCGGAGCCAGAGCGCACACGUUGGGACCCGAAAGAUGGUGAACUAUGCUUGGGCAGGACGAAGCCAGAGGAAACUCUGGUGGAGGUCCGUAGCGAUUCUGACGUGCAAAUCGAUCGUCGGACCUGAGUAUAGGGGCGAAAGACUAAUCGAACCGUCU